GACGAACGCUGGCGGCGUGCCUAAUACAUGCAAGUCGAGCGCAGGAAACUGACGGAACUCUUCGGAGGGAAGGCAGUGGAAUGAGCGGCGGACGGGUGAGUAACACGUAAGGAACCUGCCUCAAGGAUUAGGAUGACUCCGAGAAAUCGGAGCUAAUACCGGAUAGUUCAACGGACCCCAUGGUCCGUUGAUGAAAGGCGCUCCGGCGUCACCUUGAGAUGGCCUUGCGGUGCAUUAGCUAGUUGGUGGGGUAACGGCUCACCAAGGCGACGAUGCAUAGCCGACCUUAGAGGGUGAUCGGCCACACUGGGACUGAGACACGGCCCAGACUCCUACGGGAGGCAGCAGUAGGGAAUCUUCCACAAUGGACGAAAGUCUGAUGGAGCAACGCCGCGUGAGUGAUGAAGGUUUUCGGAUCGUAAAACUCUGUUGUAAGGGAAGAACACGUACGAGAGGAAAUGCUCGUACCUUAACGGUACCUUACGAGAAAGCCACGGCUAACUACGUGCCAGCAGCCGCAGUAA
This 524-nucleotide ribosomal RNA is filed under the name uncultured bacterium. Its description in RNAcentral is "partial 16S ribosomal RNA". It matches the Rfam family "Bacterial small subunit ribosomal RNA", at positions 28 to 523 of the family's 1533-position model. The record is from RNAcentral.